Molecule: long non-coding RNA, 448 nt
Organism: Apodemus sylvaticus (European woodmouse)
Lineage: Eukaryota; Metazoa; Chordata; Mammalia; Rodentia; Muridae
Exons: 3
Source: RefSeq, a predicted model, not a curated record
CACUGGGAAAACCCUUCCAGGGUCAAUAUGGGCACAGUUCAGUAUCUACAACUAAACUGAGGCCAGAAGGAGAAUGCUGUUGUCAGGAUGUGUUCUUGGUUUGUACUAAGCUGUUUCCAACAAAAUACUUAUUCCUAGAACCAGUUGAAAAAGCAUAUUCGUUUUCACUGCGUGUAAACCAGCCUCAACCAGUUUGGCAGCAAAUACUUGAUUGUAGAUCCAUAAAUAUGUUCGUGACAAAAAUUGACUGCAUUCUUUACUUAAUGGAAAGCUGCUAGCACAUGAAUCAAAGACUCCUUCAUUUACACACUUGGGAGUCCCUUAAAAUACUAAAGUGAAAGCUAUAAUAUGUCUGCAGAGAACCUGGAACCCACCCAUGCAGGCCCUGUGCCUGCUGCUUUCAUCUCUAUGAGCUCAUCUCCAAGACUCAAGGCCUGGACAGUAUUUC